ACCAGGAUGGCCAAGUGGUUAAGGCGUUGGCUUAAGUUCAAAUGUACGAAUUUACGCGUGGGUUCGAACCCCACUCCUGGUA
RNAcentral lists this transfer RNA (82 nucleotides) under Nematostella vectensis (starlet sea anemone). It matches the Rfam family "tRNA". Rfam says of the family: Transfer RNA (tRNA) molecules are approximately 80 nucleotides in length. The record is from Rfam by way of RNAcentral. Lineage: Eukaryota; Metazoa; Cnidaria; Anthozoa; Actiniaria; Edwardsiidae.